This 468-nucleotide ribosomal RNA is filed under the name uncultured bacterium. RNAcentral describes it as "partial 16S ribosomal RNA". It matches the Rfam family "Bacterial small subunit ribosomal RNA", at positions 28 to 507 of the family's 1533-position model. The record is from RNAcentral.
GACGAACGCUGGCGGCGUGCUUAACACAUGCAAGUCGAACGGAAAGGCCCUGCUUUUGUGGGGUGCUCGAGUGGCGAACGGGUGAGUAACACGUGAGUAACCUGCCCUUGACUUUGGGAUAACUUCAGGAAACUGGGGCUAAUACCGGAUAGGAGCUCCUGCUGCAUGGUGGGGGUUGGAAAGUUUCGGCGGUUGGGGAUGGACUCGCGGCUUAUCAGCUUGUUGGUGGGGUAGUGGCUUACCAAGGCUUUGACGGGUAGCCGGCCUGAGAGGGUGACCGGCCACAUUGGGACUAAGAUACGGCCCAGACUCCUACGGGAGGCAGCAGUGGGGAAUAUUGCACAAUGGGCGGAAGCCUGAUGCAGCAACGCCGCGUGCGGGAUGACGGCCUUCGGGUUGUAGACCGCUUUCGCCUGUGACGAAGCGUGAGUGACGGUAAUGGGUAAAGAAGCACCGGCUAACUACGUG